RNAcentral lists this long non-coding RNA (936 nucleotides) under Sorghum bicolor (sorghum). RNAcentral's name for it is "long non-coding RNA (SBIC_LNC007234)". The record is from RNAcentral. Lineage: Eukaryota; Viridiplantae; Streptophyta; Magnoliopsida; Poales; Poaceae.
AGGUGACACCGAUGAGUUUACAGAAGAUGAAGGAACGAGCGCUCUAGAAGACAAAAAGAAUGCUACAUCCAAGAAGGUGUGCAGCAGUCAGUUGCCUUUUAGUCUCUUCUUCUUUUGCAAUUAUCUCACCCUUUUUUUUAUUUAGGCUGAAGUUGGCACGAAGAGAGAAAUCCAUGCUGAGAAGACACCUUCUGGUAAGAAGGCCAAGGGUGAUCAGUAUGGUCAGAGUGUGAGCUUUUCAGGACCUGAGGAGUCAUCAUCUGAAGAAGUAUGUCAAUUUGAUUUCUCUUCUCAAAUUAUUACAAUUUGGUAUUUUGUAUUAUCGGUUGCAUAUAGAAUUGUUGGUGACGAGUACUGGUGGACCAGGACUGGUGGUGACGAGUGAAGACCUUGAUGAAGUUUGCAGAAUUGCAGCCACAGCCGCAGCGCAACUCCCGUCCACUCCAGGGAAACAAUCCAGACUAGUUGGUACUGUAUGUGCUACUCUGAUAUCCUCAGGGGCACAUGUUAAUAAUGUUGGAGUAUCCUCACGGAGUCACCGGAACAUGUUAAUGGUGGUAGUACGGUACGGUAGCCCUGCUAAAUCAGAAUUGUCGUAUGCUGAAAUGUUGCUAAUUAAACCAUAUAAAACAGAUUUCGCUUGCUCUCUGAUUGGCAUACAUAUAGUGCUAGUGUGUGUGGAUAUAAAUUGUCUGAUUGGCAUAGAUAUAAAUUGUCGCCUGCUAAAGUGUGUGUUGUCUGAUUGGCAUACAUAUAUGCUAGUGUUUGUUACAUUCAGUUCGUAGACGGUGUACGUACGGCUUGUUGCGAAGCAGCACAUACUGUUAUCCUGAUGAUCUUGUAGAGCUUAGACCAUCAAGCUUAAGCAUGAAGAAGUCAACCAAGUCCAUCUCGUAGGGCACAGCCGUCCGUUUCAUUUGAUCCGCGAACAGGGGC